CCUACGGGAGGCAGCAGUGAGGAAUAUUGGACAAUGGGCGCAAGCCUGAUCCAGCCAUGCCGCGUGCAGGAUGACGGUCCUAUGGAUUGUAAACUGCUUUUAUACGAGAAGAAACACCCCUACGUGUAGGGACUUGACGGUAUCGUAAGAAUAAGGAUCGGCUAACUCCGUGCCAGCAGCCGCGGUAAUACGGAGGAUCCAAGCGUUAUCCGGAAUCAUUGGGUUUAAAGGGUCCGUAGGCGGUUUAGUAAGUCAGUGGUGAAAUCUCCCCGCUCAACGGGGAAACGGCCAUUGAUACUGCUAGACUUGAAUUAUUAGGAAGUAACUAGAAUAUGUAGUGUAGCGGUGAAAUGCUUAGAGAUUACAUGGAAUACCAAUUGCGAAGGCAGGUUACUACUAAUGGAUUGACGCUGAUGGACGAAAGCGUGGGUAGCGAACAGGAUUAGAUACCCUGGUAGUCCACGCCGUAAAACGAUGGAUACUAGCUGUUGGGUGCAAACUCAGUGGNGUAGACGAAGUAGAUAAGUAGUCCGACCGUCGGGUAGGUACGGUUCGCGAAGAAGUAGUAAACGUUACGAAAUAGUUAAGUUAGUACGGCGUUGGAGACGUUAGCCGACGGACGACCGACCGAGGGGAGGUUAGGGAGG
Molecule: ribosomal RNA, 647 nt
Filed under: uncultured bacterium
Lineage: Bacteria
Description: partial 16S ribosomal RNA
Rfam family: Bacterial small subunit ribosomal RNA (bases 1-536)
Source: RNAcentral